Molecule: ribosomal RNA, 424 nt
Filed under: Fusobacteriota bacterium
Lineage: Bacteria; Fusobacteriati; Fusobacteriota
Description: Fusobacteria bacterium partial 16S ribosomal RNA
Rfam family: Bacterial small subunit ribosomal RNA
Source: RNAcentral
UGAGGAAUAUUGGUCAAUGGGCGAGAGCCUGAACCAGCCAAGUCGCGUGAAGGAAGACAGUCCUAAGGAUUGUAAACUUCUUUUAUACGGGAAUAACGGGCGAUACGAGUAUUGCAUUGAAUGUACCGUAAGUAUAAGCAUCGGCUAACUCCGUGCCAGCAGCCGCGGUACUACUGAGGAUGCGAGCGUUAUCCGGAUUUAUUGGGUUUAAAGGGUGCGUAGGUUGUUCGGUAAGUCAGCGGUGAAACCUGAGCGCUCAACGUUCAGCCUGCCGUUGAAACUGCCGGGCUUGAGUUCAGUGGCGGCAGGCGGAAUUCGUGGUGUAGCGGUGAAAUGCAUAGAUAUCACGAGGAACUCCGAUUGCGAAGGCAGCUUGCCAUAAUGCGACUGACACUGAAGCACGAAGGCGUGGGUAUCAAACAGG